RNAcentral lists this ribosomal RNA (301 nucleotides) under uncultured bacterium. RNAcentral describes it as "partial 16S ribosomal RNA". It matches the Rfam family "Bacterial small subunit ribosomal RNA", at positions 509 to 808 of the family's 1533-position model. The record is from RNAcentral.
CAGUAGCCGCGGGAUACGAAGGGUGCAAGCGUUACUCGGAAUUACUGGGCGUAAAGCGUGCGUAGGUGGUGGUUUAAGUCCGUUGUGAAAGCCCUGGGCUCAACCUGGGAAUUGCAGUGGAUACUGGGUCACUAGAGUGUGGUAGAGGAUAGUGGAAUUUCCGGUGUAGCAGUGAAAUGCGUAGAGAUCGGAAGGAACAUCUGUGGCGAAGGCGACUAUCUGGGCCAACACUGACACUGAGGCACGAAAGCGUGGGGAGCAAACAGGAUUAGAUACCCCUGUAGUCCCUGUCUCUUAUACA